GAUGAACGCUGGCGGCGUGCCUAAUACAUGCAAGUCGAACGAGGUGCCUUUGUAGCAAUACGAAGGUAUCCUAGUGGCGAACGGGUGAGUAACGCGUUGGUGACCUACCCCAAAGUGUGGGAUAACAGAUCGAAAGAUCUGCUAAUACCGCAUGUGGUCUUCGGAUUUAGAAACUGAUGACUAAAGGAGCAAUUCGCUUUGGGAGGGACCUGCGUCCCAUCAGCUAGUUGGUGAGGUAAUGGCUCACCAAGGCUACGACGGGUAGGGGACCUGAGAGGGUGGCCCCCCCACAAUGGAACUGAAACACGGUCCAUACACCUACGGGUGGCAGCAGUAGGGAAUAUUGCACAAUGGGCGAAAGCCUGAUGCAGCAACGCCGCGUGUGCGAUGAAGGCCUUGGGUCGUAAAGCACUUUUCUGAGGGAUGAGCAAGGACAGUACCUCAGGAAUAAGUCUCGGCUAACUACGUGCCAGCAGCCGCGGUAAU
Molecule: ribosomal RNA, 486 nt
Filed under: uncultured bacterium
Lineage: Bacteria
Description: bacterial SSU rRNA
Rfam family: Bacterial small subunit ribosomal RNA
Source: RNAcentral